This 447-nucleotide ribosomal RNA is filed under the name Salmonella enterica. RNAcentral describes it as "bacterial SSU rRNA". It matches the Rfam family "Bacterial small subunit ribosomal RNA", at positions 1075 to 1522 of the family's 1533-position model. RNAcentral also lists the same sequence under 1 other name. The record is from RNAcentral. Lineage: Bacteria; Pseudomonadati; Pseudomonadota; Gammaproteobacteria; Enterobacterales; Enterobacteriaceae.
UUGGGUUAAGUCCCGCAACGAGCGCAACCCUUAUCCUUUGUUGCCAGCGAUUAGGUCGGGAACUCAAAGGAGACUGCCAGUGAUAAACUGGAGGAAGGUGGGGAUGACGUCAAGUCAUCAUGGCCCUUACGACCAGGGCUACACACGUGCUACAAUGGCGCAUACAAAGAGAAGCGACCUCGCGAGAGCAAGCGGACCUCAUAAAGUGCGUCGUAGUCCGGAUUGGAGUCUGCAACUCGACUCCAUGAAGUCGGAAUCGCUAGUAAUCGUGGAUCAGAAUGCCACGGUGAAUACGUUCCCGGGCCUUGUACACACCGCCCGUCACACCAUGGGAGUGGGUUGCAAAAGAAGUAGGUAGCUUAACCUUCGGGAGGGCGCUUACCACUUUGUGAUUCAUGACUGGGGUGAAGUCGUAACAAGGUAACCGUAGGGGAACCUGCGGUUGGA